Molecule: long non-coding RNA, 1363 nt
Organism: Candoia aspera
Lineage: Eukaryota; Metazoa; Chordata; Lepidosauria; Squamata; Candoiidae
Exons: 5
Source: RefSeq, a predicted model, not a curated record
GGGAAGAGAAAGUAUGAAUUAGUUGACUUGCGCCGUUUGCCGCUUUGCUGCUGUAGACAGAAGAGUUUCGCUUCUGCUUGCUGGAACACGUGGGCAUGCGUGGAUUUUAAGAUGGUGUAUGAUGCGGUCAAGGUAACAGACCUAGACUACAAAAAUCCCCGAUGGCCAUUAAACGGCAGCAGACAGAGUUGGAAAAUUAUUACAAUUAUUUGUCUAACUUGGAAAAUCCACUGAAAAUCUUUUUAUUCUGUAUCUAUUGUCCUUCUUUUAAAUGAGACCGGUAUUUGGGGAAGCUAUCGUUCCACAACACUUAAGGGAGAUGAUUUGUUGGGGGGUUUUUUUAGUAAAAGGGGGAGGCUUACACAGAACAAUAGGGGACAAGCUUUUGUUCAUUUUAUGAAUAGUUUGAUAUUUGCCCACUCUUGUACAUUGAUGCGUGGAUUCUUACCACCGUCUUCAGUUUAACUCCAUUCCCAUCCCUUGUGUGAUGGAACUGCUGCUCCAGAACUCUGUGUACUUGAAGGGUGUUAACUUGGGGAAGCCUUGUUUAGAGGGUCCAUGAUGCUCAGCAUGUCUUAGGUAUCUAUUCACAAGCACGACUGAUAUCAUAACUUAUUUCCUAACGUUAUAGCACAUAGUACAACAUGGAAACGGCUCAGGUCUCUGUGGAUUGGAGGACAUCACUCUCCACCAGCCAGCGUGCAGAAAGUAUGCUUAAAAUUCACUAGAGGCUGCACGUGUUGCUUUGCCAAAGGAGUCAGCCCAAGCAAGGUGCAGAUACCACAUAUCUUCACUGUAAGCUAUAACCCUAAGAAAAUCCCUUCUUGGAGAAGAAGGUGUUAGUGAUGCAUCUCUUCUGAUCUACGUUCCAAGAUAUGCACGUGCCUGGAUGCUCUUGAGAGCUGCAGUUAUCAAAGUUGAGUAUAGAGCAUCUUCUGGAGUCAAGUGCACAUUGCAGAAUAACCAUUGCUGGAAGAAUGUCAACAUUUGGUGGUAACAACAGCAGUCCAACCCAUCUUCUGAAGCUUUCCUGGAAGCAGAGUUCCAUGUAUGCCUGCUGGGAAUGGGACAGACAAGAUUACACAUGGAUCUGAUCUUCUACGAUCACAGUGAAGAAGUGAAAAAAAUGGUGUGGAACACCCCCAUCCCCCCACCACAGCUUCUUCUCUACACUUCCAGAGAGGAAAGGUUGAAAAUAAAAAUAUAGAGGACUAAGGAAUGAAAAGUUAUCUUCCUGGGGUUUUCUAGGGAGUGGUGUAUUCCUACCCUGCCCUGCAUUUUUAGAAGGAAUGUUUAAAAUAUGUUCCAUGUCCUCCCUACUUCCUAAAAUGAUAGGAAAGGAAGGCAUGGUCACUUUUUUUUU